RNAcentral lists this unclassified non-coding RNA (346 nucleotides) under soil metagenome. RNAcentral's name for it is "partial contains 5.8S ribosomal RNA, internal transcribed spacer 2, and large subunit ribosomal RNA". The stretch from base 4 to 118 matches the Rfam family "5.8S ribosomal RNA", at positions 40 to 154 of the family's 154-position model. The record is from RNAcentral.
GUGAAGACGUAGCGAAAUGCGAUAAGUAAUGUGAAUUGCAGAAUUCAGUGAAUCAUCGAGUCUUUGAACGCACAUUGCGCCCCCUGGUAUUCCGGGGGGCAUGCCUGUCCGAGCGUCAUUGCCGCCCUCAAGCACGGCUUGUGUGUUGGGCCCCCGCCCCCCGGCUUCGGGGGGCGGGCCCGAAAGGCAGCGGCGGCACCGCGUCCGGUCCUCGAGCGUAUGGGGCUUCGUCACCCGCUCUGUAGGCCCGGCCGGCGCCCGCCGGCGACCCCAAUCAAUCUUUCCAGGUUGACCUCGGAUCAGGUAGGGAUACCCGCUGAACUUAAGCAUAUCAAUAAGCGGAGGA